UACGAAGGGGGCUAGCGUUGUUCGGAAUUACUGGGCGUAAAGAGCGCGCAGGCGGUCGGAUCAGUCGAAUGUGAAAGCCCCCGGCUCAACUGGGGAGGGUCAUUCGAUACUGUUCGACUCGAAGGCAGGAGAGGGAAGCGGAAUUCCCGGUGUAGUGGUGAAAUGCGUAGAUAUCGGGAGGAACACCAGUGGCGAAGGCGGCUUUCUGGCCUGUUCUUGACGCUGAGGCGCGAAAGCUAGGGGAGCGAACGGG
Molecule: ribosomal RNA, 253 nt
Filed under: uncultured bacterium
Lineage: Bacteria
Description: partial 16S ribosomal RNA
Rfam family: Bacterial small subunit ribosomal RNA
Source: RNAcentral